UUAUAGUUUGAUUGUUUUCAUCACCACCUCCACCACUUCCACCCCUCAUUAUCAUCUCUGGUCCCCACUCCUUCCUACAUAUUGGUUCUCAUCCUCCCAGCAGAUUUCUUCUCAGCUCAGUCUGUGUGUCCUCAAGCAGGCCUUUCUCCCACUUUAGAUGAGGUCAAAUGACUUGUUGCAUACUCUCUUAUGAACCUGUUUUUCUCCUUCUAAGCACAUAACACAACUGUAAUCAAGUAACUAUGCUAUUUGUUGUUCAAUGUUUGUUUGCCCCAACAGAAUGAAAAUUAUAUGAGAAAGACCUUAUUCAUCCCCUUUGCUGCAUUAGCAGGAAAAAAAAAAACCUGUUGAAUGAGCACAUUCCAUGUGGUGUGUGGAGGCAGCAAGGUGUGGAGCUGCUAGGAGCAGACUGAUAAGCCCUCCCUAGGGGCUCAGUACAGGAAGGUGGAAGAAGAUGGAAGUGGACUAGAGUAUGCUGGGGGAUUCACUUUCCUACCCUCUCACAGUUAGGUGAGGUGGCCUCGUGAUUAUCGAUGGACAACGAGUCUUUCUGCCUCCUGUUCUUGAAUGAAGAACUACGUUUCUUGUGGAUUAGAUUCAGUUAUGCCAAUUUGCUGGCGUAUGUAUGCAGGACUGGUGCAUGAAGAAGCCAGGAUUUGAAGCUCUUCGCUGACUCCAGACACACCCUCUCCAAUCCUUCUGCCCACACAGUGGUGUCUCUCAGUGCAGGACAGGUUCUUCUAUUAUGCUACAAGUGUAUCAUCACUAGGUCAACUUUGGAUGCCCCUCAACUGAAGAAUGGAAGAAUGUGGUACAUUUUCACAAUGAAGUACUACGCAGAAAAAAAAAAAAAAACAAAAAAAAAUGGCAUCUUGAAAUUGGCAGGCAAAUGGAUGGAACUAGAAGAAACCAUCCUGAGCAAGCUGAUGGAAGUAGAAGCAGACACCCACAGCUAAACACUGAAUUGAACUGGAACCCAGUUGCAGAGAAGGAGGAGUGAUGAACAAAGGGGUCAAGACCAGGCUGGUGAAACCCACAGAAACAGCUGACUUGAACAAUUGGGAACUCUUGGUUCCCAUACUGAUAGCUGGGAAACCAGCAUGGAACUGAUGCAGACCCCAUGAAUGUGGGUGUCAGUGAGGAGGCCUCAGAAAUCUAUGGGGCCUCUUGUAGUAGAUGAGUACUUAUCCAUAGUGUAGGAAUGGACUUUGGGAGCCCAUUCCACGUAGAGGGAUACUUCUGCAUCCUAGACACAUCGGGGAGGGCCUAGGCCCUAUCCCAAAGGAUAUGAUAGACUCUGAACUGGCCCCCCAAAGGCCUUACCUUCCCUGGGGAGCAAAAAUGAUAUGGGAUAGGUAGGGUGUUAGUGAGGGGCA
RNAcentral lists this long non-coding RNA (1376 nucleotides) under Cricetulus griseus (Chinese hamster). RNAcentral describes it as "lncRNA (ENSCGRG00015037395.1)". Lineage: Eukaryota; Metazoa; Chordata; Mammalia; Rodentia; Cricetidae. The record is from RNAcentral.